GAUGAAGAACGCAGCGAAAUGCGAUAAGUAAUGUGAAUUGCAGAAUUCAGUGAAUCAUCGAAUCUUUGAACGCACAUUGCGCACCCUGGUAUUCCGGGGGGCAUGCCUGUUCGAGCGUCAUUUCACCACUCAAGCCUCGCUUGGUAUUGGGCAACGCGGUCCGCCGCGUGCCUCAAAUCGACCGGCUGGGUCUUCUGUCCCCUAAGCGUUGUGGAAACUAUUCGCUAAAGGGUGUUCGGGAGGCUACGCCGUAAAACAACCCCAUUUCUAAGGUUGACCUCGGAUCAGGUAGGGAUACCCGCUGAACUUAAGCAUAUCAAUAAGCGGAGGA
This 331-nucleotide unclassified non-coding RNA is filed under the name soil metagenome. RNAcentral's name for it is "partial contains 5.8S ribosomal RNA, internal transcribed spacer 2, and large subunit ribosomal RNA". The stretch from base 1 to 120 matches the Rfam family "5.8S ribosomal RNA", at positions 35 to 154 of the family's 154-position model. The record is from RNAcentral.